UCGAGGAUCUUCGGCAAUGGGCGCAAGCCUGACCGAGCGACGCCGCGUGUGCGAUGAAGGCCUUCGGGUUGUAAAGCACUGUCGAGGGGGAGGAAGCCGCAAGGUUGACCUAUCCCUGGAGGAAGCACGGGCUAAGUUCGUGCCAGCAGCCGCGGUAAGACGAACCGUGCGAACGUUGUUCGGAAUCACUGGGCUUAAAGGGCGCGUAGGCGGGGGAGCAAGUCUGGGGUGAAAUCUUUCGGCUCAACCGGAAAAUGGCCUUGGAUACUGCUUCUCUCGAGGAAUGUAGGGGUCGAUGGAACUUCCGGUGGAGCGGUGAAAUGCGUAGAUAUCGGAAGGAACGCCGGUGGCGAAAGCGGUCGACUGGACAUUUUCUGACGCUGAGGCGCGAAAGCCAGGGUAGCGAACGGGAUUAGAUACCCCCGUAGUCC
Molecule: ribosomal RNA, 431 nt
Filed under: uncultured bacterium
Lineage: Bacteria
Description: bacterial SSU rRNA
Rfam family: Bacterial small subunit ribosomal RNA
Source: RNAcentral